UGGCGAGGGAGGAUUCAGCGGACCUCCGGCGGCGGGGCUGGAAAUGGGGCGGAGGGUCUCGAAGUAGCAGGAGCGGUUUCGGGAGGAGCGAGCCGGCCUGCAGGUCCCGGGAAAGAACCGCAGAGCCUCGUUCGGGGCUCGCCGGGGCGCGGAGAGGGUUGGUGUGAGAGUGCUUGGGCCUGGGCUGCGGCCCCCGGGGAAGCCGAGGCUGGGGUGAGGUCACGCCUUUGGUCUCGCUUACUGACAUUUGCUUUACCCAGGUUCCCUCGUCAGGGCUAGGAGGAGCUCGCGAGUUACCUAGGGGUUCUGUGGGGGCUGCCUGGUGACUGUCGAAGAUGCCGUACCUUGGCUCCGAGGACGUGGUGAAGGAGCUCAAGAAGGCUCUGUGUAACCCUCACGUUCAGGCCGAUAGGCUGCGCUACCGGAAUGUCAUCCAGCGAGUGAUUAGGCACAUGACUCAGGGCUUGGACAUGUCUGGUGUCUUCAUGGAAAUGGUGAAGGCCAGUGCCACCGUAGAUAUUGUUCAGAAGAAGCUGGUUUAUCUUUACAUGUGUACAUAUGCCCCCCUGAAACCAGAUCUGGCUCUCUUGGCCAUUAAUACGCUGUGCAAAGACUGUUCGGAUCCCAAUCCAAUGGUGCGAGGGCUGGCACUACGAAGCAUGUGUAGUCUCAGGAUGCCUGGUGUGCAGGAAUAUAUCCAACAGCCCAUUCUCAGUGGUCUGCGAGAUAAAGCUUCAUAUGUCAGGAGGGUGGCAGUUCUUGGUUGUGCCAAGAUGCAUAAUCUUCAUGGAGACUCUGAAGUGGACGGUGCUCUGGUAAAUGAAUUAUACAGUUUGCUGCGUGACCAGGAUCCAAUUGUGGUUGUGAACUGCCUGAGGUCUCUAGAGGAAAUUCUGAAACAGGAAGGAGGCGUUGUUAUCAACAAGCCCAUCGCCCACCAUCUCUUAAAUCGAAUGCCAAAACUGGACCAGUGGGGCCAGGCUGAAGUAUUGAACUUUCUGCUACGCUAUCAACCCCGCAGUGAGGAGGAGCUGUUUGACAUUCUCAAUCUGCUAGAUAGCUUUCUCAAGAGCAGUAGCCCCGGUGUGGUGAUGGGAGCCACGAAACUCUUUCUCAUCUUGGCAAAAAAAUUCCCCCAUGUACAGACGGAUGUGCUUGUGCAAGUCAAGGGCCCUCUGCUGGCUGCCUGUUCUUCGGAGAGCCGCGAGCUCUGUUUUGCUGCCCUGUGUCAUGUGCGUCAGAUCUUGCACAGUUUGCCCGGGCACUUUAGCAGCCACUACAAAAAGUUUUUUUGCUCCUACUCGGAGCCCCACUACAUCAAGCUGCAGAAGGUGGAGGUGCUGUGUGAGCUGGUGAACGAUGAGAACGUACAGCAGGUGCUAGAGGAGCUCCGAGGGUACUGUACUGACGUGUCAGCCGACUUUGCCCAGGCCGCCAUCUUUGCCAUAGGUGGGAUUGCCAGGACCUACACAGACCAGUGUGUGCAGAUUCUAACAGAGUUGCUGGGGCUUCGGCAAGAGCACAUUACCACAGUGGUGGUGCAAACUUUCCGAGACCUGGUUUGGUUGUGUCCUCAGUGUACGGAAGCUGUGUGUCAGGCCCUGCCUGGCUGCGAGGAGAACAUUCAAGACAGUGAGGGGAAACAGGCACUUAUUUGGCUCCUUGGUGUCCAUGGGGAGAGAAUCCCCAAUGCUCCGUAUGUGUUGGAAGACUUUGUGGAGAACGUGAAGUCAGAGACUUUUCCAGCUGUGAAGAUGGAGCUACUCACUGCACUGCUGCGCCUUUUCCUCUCCCGGCCUGCCGAGUGCCAGGACAUGCUGGGGCGUCUGUUACAUUACUGCAUAGAGGAAGAAAAGGAUAUGGCAGUACGAGACCGGGGCCUCUUCUAUUAUCGCCUUCUCUUAGCUGGCAUUGAUGGAGUGAAGCAGAUCCUGUGUAGUCCUAAAUCUGACCCUUCUCUUGGACUUUUGGAGGAUCAGGCAGAAAGACCUGUGAAUAGCUGGGCCUCAGACUUCAACACACUGGUGCCAGUCUACGGCAAAGCCCGCUGGGCAACCAUCUCUAAAUACCAGGGGCCAGAGCGUCGGGGCCCAGAGCUUCCUAACGCUGCAUCCUUUGCCACUUCAGGUCCCCUGAUUCCUGAAGAGAGCAAGGAGACGGUUCAGGAACUUCCUGAUUCUGGAGCCCUCAUGCUAGUCCCCAAUUGCCAGCUGACUGCUGAGUAUUUUGAGAAAACUUGGUUUAGCCUGAAAGUUGCUCAUCAGCAGGUGUUCCCUUGGCGGGGAGCCGUCCAUCCCGACACCCUCCAGAUGGCCCUACAAGUAGUGAACAUCCAGACCAUCGCAAUGAGCAGGGCUGGGGCUCAGCCAUGGAAAGCCUACCUCAGUGCCCAGGAUGACACUGGCUGCCUGUUCCUUACAGAACUGCUCUUGGAGCCCGAGAACUCCGAAAUGCAGAUCUCUGUGAAACAAAACGAGCCAAGGACUGAGACACUGAAUAGUUUUAUUUCUGUAUUAGAAACUGUGCUUGGAACAAUUGGAGACAUAAAAUCAUAACAGAUUCUUGCUGCUUGUCCUAGGAGCUCUCUCUAGCCUUGGCAGACAUAUGGUUUGACGAUGUGAUGAGAGCCUUGCUCUUUUGACGUGGCCAUCAUUGCUGGUCGCCUUCGGAUGUUGGGUGACCAGUUCAAUGGAGAAUUGGAAGCUUCUGCCAAAAAUGUCAUUGAAGAAACCAGUCGUGGACGGGCAGGAGCUGCACUUCAGGACACAGUCAAAAGUCUUAGGCUUGGUGUGCUCAGGAUUCCAGCUUAGCUUAUGAGAGAGCCUUUCUGGCAGUGUCAGUGAAGCUUCUUGAAUACAUGGCCCACAUCGCUCCCGAAAUGUCAAGACAGGUCGUUGUCUCCAUGACAAGCAUGAUCAAUGGGAACAAUGCCAUCCAAGAGUUUGUCCAGGGCCAGGGAGGCUGGGAAAACCUGGAGAGCUGACUACGAAGCGGUGGCGCUGUUUCCUAGCUUCAACAUCACUGCCACUUUGAUCCAGGGAUUAACUGCUGGCCAUUAAAACAGACAACCAGGGGCACCUGGGUGACU
This is an RNA transcript of Enhydra lutris kenyoni (northern sea otter), 3088 nucleotides long. It is a transcript of the gene named adaptor related protein complex 4 beta 1 subunit, with no coding region annotated. The record is from RefSeq and is a predicted model, not a curated record. The transcript has 14 exons. NCBI's taxonomy places the organism in Eukaryota, Metazoa, Chordata, Mammalia, Carnivora, Mustelidae.